GGCCCCUCANGNNNNNCUCCGCCUCCUCCUUAAACGGAUGCGGGUAGAAGCGUGGCAGGAGCUCGACCCUCUGCGGGCGCACGGACAGACUCCGUGGCCCGGCAGCUGGCGGUCGUCUUCGUUGGUCGCGCGGGGCCCGUCGGAGCGCUGGCGGUUGGCGGCGAGUAGAUCGGUCACCCACCCGACCCGUCUUGAAACACGGACCAAGGAGUCUAACAUGUGUGCGAGUCAAUGGGUCUCGAAUAAGCCCAGAGGCGCAAUGAAAGCAAAGGCACGGUGGACACCGUGCCGUGUUGGGAUCCCUGCCCCUUCUGCGGGCGGGGCGCACCAACGACCCGUCCUGUUCCACCUGUGGAUUGGGCGGAGUCCGAGCAUACACGUUGGGACCCGAAAGAUGGUGAACUAUGCCCGGGCAGGACGAGGCCAGAGGAAACUCUGGUGG
This 442-nucleotide ribosomal RNA is filed under the name Pimoa laurae. RNAcentral describes it as "partial large subunit ribosomal RNA". It matches the Rfam family "Eukaryotic large subunit ribosomal RNA", at positions 604 to 870 of the family's 3401-position model. The record is from RNAcentral. Lineage: Eukaryota; Metazoa; Arthropoda; Arachnida; Araneae; Pimoidae.